AGGGUGUGCAUGGUAGAGCUGCAGGAGUGGCCUAAAGGACUGUGCACAGGCCAACCCCAAAGACAGAGGAUGAGC
This is a long non-coding RNA of Gavialis gangeticus (Gharial), 75 nucleotides long. RefSeq lists it as uncharacterized. The transcript is spliced from 3 exons. The record is from RefSeq and is a predicted model, not a curated record. Lineage: Eukaryota; Metazoa; Chordata; Crocodylia; Gavialidae.